UACGGGGGGGGCAAGCGUUGCUCGGAAUUACUGGGCGUAAAGGGCGCGUAGGCGGUUGGAUAAGUCAGCUGUGAAAACCACGAGCUCAACUUGUGGCCUGCAGUUGAAACUGUCUGGCUAGAGUGUGGGAGAGGGAAGUGGAAUUCCUGGUGUAGCGGUGAAAUGCGCAGAUAUCAGGAAGAACACCCGUGGCGAAGGCGGCUCUCUGGGACGGUACUGACGCUGAGACGCGAAAGCGUGGGGAGCGAACAGG
Molecule: ribosomal RNA, 253 nt
Filed under: uncultured bacterium
Lineage: Bacteria
Description: partial 16S ribosomal RNA
Rfam family: Bacterial small subunit ribosomal RNA
Source: RNAcentral